AUCAAAAUCAUAUAUGAACUUUAAUUUAAUGUGCACUUUGAUACACGAACUUUAAUUUUGGUUCAAAUAUAUAUACAAUUUUGAUUUUGAUUCAAUUCUAUACAUUUAAAGAAAUAAAUACAUCAAUUUAUUUUUAUAUUAAAAAAGUAUAAUUCCGUUGUAAGUACCCAAAUUUGCCCGGGCCCAAACUAUUAACCAGCCCAAACAAUUAAAAAACAUAAAAAAAAACCAAAUAAUUAAUAGUCCAUCAUCAAAAUCCAAAUUAUAUAACCUAAAUUAAAAACCCAAAACUAAUAAAACCCUAAGCCCAAAAAGGCCCAAAACCUAAACCAUGUUUGCAGCAAACCCUAACCCUAGCAGCAACUGCGCCACCAGCAGCCUCCGUACGCGCCAGCUACCCCCGCCACGUUGCCUCCGUACCUGUAAAAGAAGACAAGCAACGGACGGACACAGCAGAAAGAGCAAAAACCAAGCAGAAACUUUGUAUUUUUUCUCUUUUGUUGUGGCUAUAAAAAGCCAAGAAAUAUCAAUGUAUCCUCUUCUUUCUUUAUGCACACUGAGAGAAGCAUAUUGAAAAGAAAAAUUCAAAAGCAAUUUAAAAGGUGAUUUCUGUUUUAAGUCUCUGGAUCUUUUGCCUUUUUUAUCUGCUUCCUUCAUUUUUAUGUGCAUUUUUGUUUUUUUUAUUUGCAUUUAAAAACAAAAAAGGGAAGGGGAGUGCUUACCUUCGCAAAUAGGCCAUUGGAAUCUUCAUCUCCUUUGUCGAAAUCAAAGGUCAAGAUGAGAUUUCAAGGGCUGAGAUUGGUAAUCUUUGAACCAAGGUUCUAAGUGUGAUGCGUGCAUGUCGAUAACCACCUAUUACAGUGGUGGCGAUUGAUUUGCUCAAAGUUUUAGGGGUUAGCCGAAUGGGGUAAUGGCUUUGAAAUUUUUUACUCUAUUUUUUUAGAAAAGGGAAGGAAAUUGUGGCUUUGCUUCAUUAGGGUUUCCUUUUUUUUUUCUUUUUAAAGGACAUGAAGUGACAACGUUUUGUGCCAAUAUUAAUGGCUUUGAAAUGGCACCAUUUGGUCCUUGAGGGUUAAUUGUAUGGCAAGUCCCUCCCCUUUGCGCUGGUUUCUAAUUAACUUUUAUUUCUAUUUUAUUUGUUUUAAAUUUUUCCUAAAAUUUGUGUGUUGUUGCGAUUUAGACCGCGCUUGAGCACAAUGUUUUAAGAUCUGGAAUAUUUCCAGAUUUGGUCCUCAUGCAUUUGCAUGCGUGGCGCAUUAGUCCUCAAUUUAAUUUCAAGAAUUUAUAAAAUUUCCC
RNAcentral lists this long non-coding RNA (1296 nucleotides) under Gossypium barbadense (sea-island cotton). RNAcentral describes it as "long non-coding RNA (GBAR_LNC012002)". Lineage: Eukaryota; Viridiplantae; Streptophyta; Magnoliopsida; Malvales; Malvaceae. The record is from RNAcentral.